RNAcentral lists this ribosomal RNA (494 nucleotides) under uncultured bacterium. RNAcentral's name for it is "partial 16S ribosomal RNA". It matches the Rfam family "Bacterial small subunit ribosomal RNA", at positions 28 to 507 of the family's 1533-position model. The record is from RNAcentral.
GACGAACGCUGGCGGCGUGCCUAAUACAUGCAAGUCGAACGGUUUAGUUCCAAGAGGCUUGCCUUUUGGAACUAGACAGUGGCGGACGGGUGAGUAACACGUAGGCAACCUACCUGUCAAACCGGGAUAACCUCGGGAAACCGAAGCUAAACCCGGAUAAGCUCCUUUUUCGCAUGAAGGGGGAGUGAAAAGGUGCGACCUGAUGACAGAUGGGCCUGCGGCGCAUUAGCUAGUAGGAAGGGUAACGGCCUACCUAGGCGAUGAUGCGUAGCCGACCUGAGAGGGCGUACGGCCACACUGGGACUGAGAUACGGCCCAGACUCCUACGGGAGGCAGCAGUAGGGAAUCUUCGGCAAUGGGCGAAAGCCUGACCGAGCAACGCCGCGUGAGUGAGGAAGGCCUUCGGGUUGUAAAACUCUGUUGUUUGGGAAGAAGGGAAAGGGUAGGACCCUUUGGUGACGGUACCAAACGAGAAAGCCCCGGCUAACUACGUG